This 3694-nucleotide long non-coding RNA is filed under the name Solanum tuberosum (potato). Its description in RNAcentral is "long non-coding RNA (STUB_LNC007056)". The record is from RNAcentral. Lineage: Eukaryota; Viridiplantae; Streptophyta; Magnoliopsida; Solanales; Solanaceae.
CCAUUCAAAAAAUUAUACUUUCCAUCACCAAAUAGCUUGAUUUCAUCCCUUUUAGGCAACCAUUAGUCCAGGAUUGGUAUUACAUAUUCUAUAUAUUUCCAAUUGCAUCCAAUUGCAAGUUUUGGUAGGUUAGGGAUCUCCAUUUUGUUAUUGGUCCGAUCGGUCUGCUCUGAGCUUCUUCAACUGUAAGUGCUCCACUCUUGUUGUUGUAGAAUCUAUUCAAAUCACUACUUGCUUGGGAUUGAGGAGGCAGAGUAGUUAUUGUUGUGUUGAGUCUAUUGAAACGAGGACUGGACUGGAUGGACUGGUUAUGAUUCUCCAAAGUCCGAGCUACUGGUUGAAUGCUUGAGUAAAUGCCUAGUGAACAUUAUGUUCUUGCAUUCACAAGCUAAGUAAAAAAUAAGUUAUCUGUUUUAACGAUAAUCAAGAGAUAAAAAAGAAGAUUAGGCAAAGCUAGAUAUUUGUAAAUGUAAGGGUUGUGUGCUCUUGUUUAAUGUCCACGGUCUCGUCAUGCUCUUGGUUGUGUCUGUUAGAGUGGGUAAAAGUCCACAUUGGUUGGGAAUGGACGGGUGGUCUCUUAUAUGGACUUUGGCAAUUUUUCCCUCAUGAGCUAGCUUUUGGAGCAUGAGUCAGACCUAAGACCUAAUUUAAUAUAGUAUCAGAGCCAAGCCCAUCUCAAUUUGUUGUUCACCGAUGUUGGCCCAUCAGUAGAGGGAUGAGAGAUUGGUCUCUUUAUAUGGACUUAGACAAACCUCCCCCAAUGAACUAGCUUUUGGGGUAACUUUUAUGCUCAUAUCUUAGAUCUUUAAUUAAAUGAAAAACCUCUUUCAUGAACUAAUCCAAAGUUUCUUCUAGGUUAAAUUUCAUUGUGUAUAAUGGGAAGAAACUUCAGCUUCUCUCUUUAUCUAAAGUACAGAAGUUUGAAAGCUGUCUUUCCUCAACAAACAGACAACAGGUAUGAGUAAGAAACUUAAUUUUAUAUAUAUAUAUAUAUAUAUUUCCACCCAAGUUGGAUCAGGUCUCUAUUUGCUAAGUGUUGUGUCAUAUCUGGAAAGUUCCCGGAAAAGGCAUGCAUGGAUUUGCCUAGUUACAUUGGAAAGAAGCACUUGAGACUUAAGUUAGUGAUAAAGUUUCAACAAGGUGGCUUUAAAUAAAUACAGUUUGUUAAAAAGAUUUGCACUAGUGAAUCAAUCGUGUCUACUUUUUAUGUUGCACAUUCUGUUGAUCGAUACUUCAGACAUUUGUUUUGCAGUUUUGUUCUUUAAGUGCAACUCCUUUCUUUGUUUCUUUCCUCAAUGCUGUUUUCAUGCAUUCUCUGGACAAACUUUUCUCUCUUUUGGGGGAGGUGGUUGGGCCAAUAAGAUAUUGAAUAAGAAAGAAAAAUUACAUUGCUUGUACAUUUGAAGGCAUCAGGAAUAAUCAAAUUACUCUUGUACUUGAUUGCUAAGACCUACUACAUUCUAAAGCAAAAUUGUAUAUGUUUUGAGUACAAACACUUGAAAGUUUUCCCAACAUUUCCACCUUUUGUCCUAACUAUUAUAGAGAAGACGACAUUUGGCCAAGUACCGACACACAAUUAUCCCUGGACUCUUUUAGGACCAAAGUAGAGGUUAACAAGGAUAAAAAAGUAUAAUAUGGCUCAUCUUUAAGUCCUAGCUAGUGCCACCCCUAGCCCUUUCCAUACGAAUUAAAUGCCUUCACUAUUCCUGCUAACGUCCUUCUUCAACUGUAAUCGUCACCUGAUUGUUGGAUACGAUGUAUUUCUUAUCGGAGGAAGAAGAAGAUGUACUAGAAGCAUGUGUCCUUAUUACAAAAGCUGGUCUAUUAGGUGUUGGAAGGUUAGUACCUUCCCCUCCCAGCAUUAAAAUGACAUCUGACAUAUUAGGACGAUGAUUUGGAUCUUCUUGUACACACAGGAGUGCAAUAUUUAUGCACUUCAAUGCUUCACUUUUGUUGCAUGAUUCAAGUAGUGACUUCUCUAUUAAUUGUAUCUCAGUUUUUUCUGUCCACAAUUUCCAUGCCUGUGAUAAUUUUUCUAUCAGAGAAACAAAGCUAAGAAGAAGAUAUAAUAAUUAAGUCAUGGGAAGUUUCUUCACUUACAUAGCCCAACAAGUUUAAGGCUUCUUCUGACUGAUAAAAUCCUGUAUUCCUUCUUCCACUGAUUAUCUCAAGUACGACUACUCCAAAACUGAAUACGUCUGAUUUGAUGGAAAACAAUCCAUCUAGUGCAUAUUCAGGAGACAUAUAGCCGCUAGAUUUCAUCAGGUGAACAAAACAUUUGAGUAUAAGAUCUUAUCCAAAGCUCCUUUUGUAAGAAAUUAAUGACAGGAAGAGAUAUAAUACUUACUAGGUCCCCACUACUUUCUUUGUAUUUGCUUCUGUUACUUUUCCUUCAACAAUCCUUGCCAAGCCAAAAUCUGAAAUUUUCGGGUUCAUCUCCUCAUCUAAUAAAAUGUUACUGGUUUUUAAAUCUCUAUGAAUGAUCCUUAGUCGUGAAUCAUGGUGAAGAUAAGAUAGACCCCGUGCAAUGCCCAGUAUGAUGUCAUAACGUUUCUUCCAAUCCAAUAAUUGACAAAGUGUUCCAUCUUGCAUCGUUACCAUGACAAAGUUUGGUACGUCAAUAAAAUUAGAUCAUUAUAAGAAAUGUAUGACUUUGAGAAUAAAGAACUUAACAAGGCUAACUCACCAAAUAUGAAUGUAUCUAAACUUUUAUUCGGCAUAUAUUCAUAAAGUAAUAUUUGUUCCGUUGCAUUGAUGCAAUAACCCAAUAGCCUCACCAGAUUUCGAUGUUGAAGCUUUGCAAUUAGAGUCACUUCAUUCUUAAAUUCAUCUAUGCCUUGUCCUGAUUGACUGGAUAACGUUUUUACUGCAAUUUCUUUUUCGCCCGGAAAGAUACCCUGCAAAAAAAAUUCAUCUCAUUACUAUAGGUCAAUAUGGCCAUGCCAGUCCAUAUAGAUGUAGGAAUGAAGUUUGAACCUUGUAAACAGGACCGAAUCCUCCUUGUCCGAGCUUAUUCGCAUUUGAGAAGUUGUCUGUAGCUUCCAAAAUAGUCUCCAAGUGAAAAUAUGGAACAUCAAUCGCUUCAUCACUGUUUUCAUUCAUUAAUACUUUUGCUUCUCCUUCAGCUUUGUGCCAGUGAGAUUUAUGUGCCCCUUGAAUACCUUUACUUCUAUCUGAUUGAGAAUGACCUUUGAAAGUAAGUUCAAAAUGCUAUAAGAGAAAAUAUCUUUCAGAGUAAGAUUCAUUCAGCAACUACCUGCUCUUUUUGCAAUUCUUCUUUUAUAGUAAAUGUAGCUAAUGCUGCCUAUGAGUAGAAACAUCAAAACUGAUAUUGACGAAAGGAUUGCUUUUAGCUUCAUCGACUUCUUAGCUUUAGUUUGAGCUGAAAGGAGAAUCAUUGUUGUUAAGUGCUAAUGGUUAAUAAGGAAUUCUAUCCAUAACAUAGUACUUAUAUGAAAUAAAGAAUCAAGCUAUGUUAAUAUGCUAUUCUAACCUUCAGGUGAGCCGCGUUUGACAAAUAUUGUCCUUUUUGACUCAGUUGUGCUGAGUUGUUCCAGAUUGAACAGAUCCCCUGUCCAGAUGGAACAGGUACCGGAACCAUCAUAAGUAUAAGCAGUGCAAGAGCAAUCGUUGAAACAUGCAGAUCUACACUGUGAGGCUGUCCCAACUGUGAUAUUAGUAUUAUGAGAAGCAG